Molecule: ribosomal RNA, 614 nt
Filed under: uncultured bacterium
Lineage: Bacteria
Description: bacterial SSU rRNA
Rfam family: Bacterial small subunit ribosomal RNA
Source: RNAcentral
AGUGGCAGACGGGUGAGUAACACGUGGGAACGUACCCUUUGGUUCGGGACAACUCUGGGAAACUGGAGCUAAUACCGGAUACGCCCUUUUGGGGAAAGGUUUACUGCCGAAGGAUCGGCCCGCGUCUGAUUAGCUAGUUGGUGGGGUAACGGCCUACCAAGGCGACGAUCAGUAGCUGGUCUGAGAGGAUGAUCAGCCACACUGGGACUGAGACACGGCCCAGACUCCUACGGGAGGCAGCAGUGGGGAAUAUUGGACAAUGGGCGCAAGCCUGAUCCAGCCAUGCCGCGUGAGUGAUGAAGGCCUUAGGGUUGUAAAGCUCUUUUAUCCGGGACGAUAAUGACGGUACCGGAGGAAUAAGCCCCGGCUAACUUCGUGCCAGCAGCCGCGGUAAUACGAAGGGGGCUAGCGUUGCUCGGAAUCACUGGGCGUAAAGGGCGCGUAGGCGGCGUUUUAAGUCGGGGGUGAAAGCCUGUGGCUCAACCACAGAAUGGCCUUCGAUACUGGGACGCUUGAGUCUGGUAGAGGUUGGUGGAACUGCGAGUGUAGAGGUGAAAUUCGUAGAUAUUCGCAAGAACACCGGUGGCAAAGGCGGCCAACUGGACCGGCACUGA